ACCCUUCUUCAGAAUAGCUCAGUUGGUAGAACAUCAAACUUUUAAUCUGAGGAUCCAGGGUUCAAGUCCCUGUUCGGGUG
Non-coding RNA from Rhincodon typus (whale shark), 80 nucleotides. Lineage: Eukaryota; Metazoa; Chordata; Chondrichthyes; Orectolobiformes; Rhincodontidae. The record is from the annotation of a RefSeq genome assembly.